GGGCCUGUAGCUCAGUCAGGUAAGAGCCCCCGGCUCAUAUGACUCCGAGACUUUGCGUUCUCGGGCUUUCGAGUUGUCUCGGCGUCUGGGACACCGGGUACGCGGUGGUUCAAAUCCGCCCGGGCCCA
This 128-nucleotide transfer RNA is filed under the name halophilic archaeon J07HX5. RNAcentral's name for it is "tRNA-Met". It matches the Rfam family "tRNA". From Rfam's summary of the family: Transfer RNA (tRNA) molecules are approximately 80 nucleotides in length. Their secondary structure includes four short double-helical elements and three loops (D, anti-codon, and T loops). The record is from RNAcentral. Lineage: Archaea; Methanobacteriati; Methanobacteriota; Halobacteria; Halobacteriales.